CAGUAGCCGCGGGAAUACGGAAGGUGCAAGCGUUAUCCGGAUUUAUUGGGUUUAAAGGGUCCGUAGGCGGACUUAUAAGUCAGUGGUGAAAGCCUGUCGCUUAACGAUAGAACUGCCAUUGAUACUGUAAGUCUUGAGUAUAUUUGAGGUAGCUGGAAUAAGUAGUGUAGCGGUGAAAUGCAUAGAUAUUACUUAGAACACCAAUUGCGAAGGCAGGUUACCAAGAUAUAACUGACGCUGAGGGACGAAAGCGUGGGUAGCGAACAGGAUUAGAUACCCGGGUAGUCCCUGUCUCUUAUAC
RNAcentral lists this ribosomal RNA (301 nucleotides) under uncultured bacterium. RNAcentral's name for it is "partial 16S ribosomal RNA". It matches the Rfam family "Bacterial small subunit ribosomal RNA", at positions 509 to 807 of the family's 1533-position model. The record is from RNAcentral.